ACAAGCUGGUGGGUGGCGCCCCAUCUUCAGGCUCUGCGUCAGCUCCUGCCUAUGGUUCCUGUCCUGACUUUCUUCAGUGAUUAGCAGAUACGGACGUGUAAGCCAAACAAACCCUUUCUUCCCCAAUUUCCCUCAGGUGCUGGUGUUUCUCUGCAGUAAUAGUAACCCUAAGAUGGAAGUUGGUGCCAGCAUAGUGGGGGUGUUGCUGUGACAGACCUGACCGUGGUUUGGGGAGGACCGUGGAAGUGACUUUGGGCUAGAAAGGCCAUUGAGUGUUGAGAGCUCAGAGGGAGCCUCUGCGGGGAGACGGAACAGACAGAAGAGCAGGAGGCUGGGCUUGCCAGUUUCCGAGGGAGUCGAAGACCGCACUGGGCCGUUUGUGCAAAGAAUCUGUGAUGUCCGGUCGGCUUGGCGUGGAAGAGUCAGCCGUGAUUAGCAAGAGGCCAGAAGCGCUGACGUGAAAUCUCUGCUUAACGGGACAGUUGAUGCUGGAGCUGAGAAGUUAAUGGUGACUAAGAAGAGACGGGCAUCACUGAGGUGAAGUCUCCAGGGUGUGUUUCCUCAGACUCAGCACACAGAAGCUGUGUUCCAGAGGCUGCUAAGGCUGCACCUGGCACUGGCAGAGGAACUUGGCAGUGUCACCCAGGUGGUGCCGGUCUUGAAGGCAUGAAGGGAUCAUGGAGAGCAGCUGAGGCCUGGGCCCGGGAGAGGCCACUGGUGAAGGUGCAGCCUCAGUGGCAGUUGGAGGCUCAGGACUGCCACUGAGGAGAGAAGCUGAGGCCUGGCACCGUGAGGAGAGCCAAUGAGAGGCUACUGGUGAAAGUGCAGUCUGGUGGCAGCAGAAGACCCCAGCCUUUCAGGGAUGCCGGUGCCGUGGGGAGACCCCAGCCUUUCAGGGAUGCCGGUGCCGUGGGGAGACCACCCGAGCACAGCACGCAGGAGUGGAGUCAGCCUGAGCAUGGAUGGAAGACAGCUGUGUGUGCUGCGGAGGCCGCGGUCAGAGACGUAGCCCAAGAGCAUCGGGGGAGCCUCAAAGAACCUGAUGGUGAGGCUAUUGCUGAAGCCACCACACACUUGAGUCAUGGAACACGGAGAAGUCAUGUUGCUACUGACCCGGAAGCCUCAUCCCUACUGUCUAGCUGUCACAGUGUUGGAGGGCGCUAUGCACACCACUGAAGGAAAAAGCUGGCUCUGUGGUCACUGGAACGAAGAAAUUCCCUGGGUUUGUCUCCUGAUUAUUAUGUAACUUAAUGCUCCAUUGAAUCUGUCAGCGACCCCCGUGCUUUGUAAAGCCUUCAAAAAGAAAAAGAAAAAGCCAAAAACCCAGAUUGGAAAAGUCUCCCACCUUCCAGUUUGCCACACUGCUCUCCAUGCAACAAGGGCACUUCCCCGUGGAAAACACACUUCCUCACACGCACUUCCUCGCACGCACACUUCCUCACAUGUACUUCCUCACACACCUCAUUACACACGCUUCUUCCUCACACGCACUUCUGUUUUCCUGGUGCCUGGCUGCCCUCCAUGUUAGCCGGAUCUUACUCUUCGAUCACUUAAAGAAGGCCUGGGCUGCACGCUGCCGCCUCCGCCCCAGGCACUGGGGCUGCAAACAGGAGCCAGCACUCCCGGCUUGCCCCCCCCCCACCUCCCCGCCUGGAGAUGUGGGGUAGAGGCUGUGGUGUAGGCGAACUCCCAGGGAGCUGGGCACACCUUCCCCUCUGCACACCGGGCCUCCUCCUUGGUGGGCGGCGACCCCAUGGGCUGCUGGCCUUCCCAAGGGUCUGUGCGGUGUCCCGGGAUGUGGUUCCCGCUGCGGGGGACCUCGGAUCAUGCUGCCUUCUGACGCCCCAGUCAUCUCGGCUCAGCAGGACUGCAUCAAAGGGAGCUGCUUGCUUGGCGGGGCCGUUAUUAGAAUGCUUAGCACCCCUGGAUGGGUCUCCACACCCCGCAGAGCACAGCGAGGCCCGCACCGGAACCAGAGUGGGAAGAACCGGGUCCUUGUUGCCGUCGGUGAACCGUUCAUUUAGCCGUCCCAAAAGGGGUUGUGUUGCGUAAGAGAACACUUUCCCCUAUGGAUGCCGCCGCUUCAAGUCAGAGUUUGUGUCGCUCGCGGGCCUCAACAUCCCGGUGCACACAGCGGUUAUCCUGGAAAAUACCUCAGCUCCCAGGUUCAGAGCAGCCAAACCCAGGGAGAGUAUUUCACAUUGCCCAGCACCGGGGCUCUAUUGCAAAUUCUCACCAAAGUUUUGACGGCCGGCAGUGAUUGUAAACUUGACAAGAUCUCCAGUCACGUGGAAGACACUCCCCCGGGAAUGUCCACGAGGAAGCUUCUAGAUCGUGUUACUUGAGGUGGCCAGCCUCCUCCUCUGCUUCCUGAGCGUGGAUGCAUGUGGCCAGCCUCCUCACGCUGUGGCCACCGUGACUCCGUGCUGCCAUGAUGCACCUGGUCCUGCGAGCGAAAGCAAACCCCCCCUUUCUCGAGGGCUUUUGUUUUAGCAAUGAGAAAAGCAACCACUACAGGGUUGUGUCAAAUGGACAGUCGAGGCUAACCAUUGCGAACAGAUGCCAUGAAAAAAAAUAAUCAAGGACUCCAUCUAUAAAUACUACUUGUGGGAUUGUAACCGAGUGGUAAGAAUUGACCUAUAAGAUUCCCUCACACCUUUCCCAACACCAGCGAGAUUGUGUCAUUACCUUAUCUACAGUGGAGUAGACUGUACGUAGCUGUUGAUUUUUGAUGCCGACCCUUCUCCUACCACACUGAGGUGGUAGAGCUUGCAGGAGGGCAGCUGAGGAUGUAAAUUCCUGGGGGGGGCGGGUGCAAUGAGGAGCCUCAUUCCACAGAGGCUGGGAGGUCGGCAGAUUCUUUGCUCUGGAUGCUCCUGGCCAUGGACCAAGGAGAGUCCCCUGCCAGCUGAGCCAGGCCUGUUUCUAAUAAGCCAGAUAUUGCCAGGCAGCAGGCGGGGUCUCACUAGCGGAUCAGGUCAGGCACAAACCUUCAGGGAUUCCUUCGCCCUCCGAUGCCCAUUCCAGCCACUCAGGGCCACCCAACAAACGAUGCCCCGGAGGCUUGGCACACAAUUAAAAGGGAAGAAAUUCUUAAUCAAAUCAUGCCGCUCCAAGUGAAUCGGGCUGGAAUGAAAAGAAUCGUGUGGAACUGCCCACAAUGGAAAUUCACCAGGCCAGAGUGGACACCAAAUACUCCCAGGUUGCUUUUGAAAUAGAUACUGCAGUGUUCUGUAGAGUUCUGAAAUCACAUCCAAGUAUUAAAAAAUUUUUCCAUUAGCUAAGGUUGCUUUAGGAGAUAGCACACACACACACACACACAUACACACAUUCACACACACACAUGUACAGACACACACAUGCACACACAAAGCACAUGUGUGCUGUGUGUACAUGGGAACAGCAGAAGCCCACAUCAGACUCUGUACCCCAAGUUCUCUUCAAACUAGCUAAGACCGUGAAUCCCCUGCACCCUCCUUUGAGACAGCUCUCGGUUAAAAAAAAAAGUUUGUUUCCCUUUUCCUGCUCAAGAAUGUCAUGACAAGCUCCCCCAUUCAUUACCAAAAUGUUCUUUUGCCACUAAUUUCUCUUCUUGGCUAAAAUAA
Molecule: long non-coding RNA, 3605 nt
Organism: Mesocricetus auratus (golden hamster)
Lineage: Eukaryota; Metazoa; Chordata; Mammalia; Rodentia; Cricetidae
Exons: 5
Source: RefSeq, a predicted model, not a curated record